Cajanus cajan (pigeon pea) is the source of this 304-nucleotide non-coding RNA. The record is from RefSeq and is a predicted model, not a curated record. NCBI's taxonomy places the organism in Eukaryota, Viridiplantae, Streptophyta, Magnoliopsida, Fabales, Fabaceae.
GACUUAAAUCCCUAAAAUGACUUAAAAUGCGAAAAUCCUGUAAUUGGAGUAAAGUAAAGGAGCCGUUUCGCAGCCCUUACGCGAAAGUCCUGCGAUUGGAGCCCCUUACGCGAGAUCCGGCAGCCCUCCUGCGCGAGUUCCGGCAGCCACCUUGCACGAGUUCCGGCAGCUGUUUCGCACAAAUAUGGGUGAUGGUGAAAGUGAGACAUUCGAAUUCAUGGCUGAGAGACUGAGCCCUAUGAACAACACUUUCCAUUUAAACAAAGAAACCUUCUUUCACGAACUUAUCAACAAUGCUUUUGAG